AAAGAAUUUCGGGCACGGAUUUCUCCGCUCUUCCAUUCAUGAAAAACGGAACGAAAUGGCAUACCUGGGGGGGAUUGGAAAAUCCCCGUAACCCUCCAGUCCUUUAACCCCAGUUGGGCCCCAAGCCCUUUAGCCGAAGGCCCCCCCGGCUGGGUGGCCCGCCU
RNAcentral lists this ribosomal RNA (164 nucleotides) under Acer palmatum subsp. palmatum. RNAcentral's name for it is "5.8S ribosomal RNA". The record is from RNAcentral. Lineage: Eukaryota; Viridiplantae; Streptophyta; Magnoliopsida; Sapindales; Sapindaceae.